This is a non-coding RNA of Acanthosepion pharaonis, 112 nucleotides long. NCBI's taxonomy places the organism in Eukaryota, Metazoa, Mollusca, Cephalopoda, Sepiida, Sepiidae. The record is from the annotation of a GenBank genome assembly.
UAGGGCCAUAUCACGUCGAAACAUAGGUUCCGUACAAUCACCGAAGUUAAGCAACGUCGAGCCUGGCCAAUACCUAGAUGGGUGACUGCUUGGAAAUACCAAGUGUUGUCAG